Lynx canadensis (Canada lynx) is the source of this 500-nucleotide long non-coding RNA. RefSeq lists it as uncharacterized. NCBI's taxonomy places the organism in Eukaryota, Metazoa, Chordata, Mammalia, Carnivora, Felidae. The record is from RefSeq and is a predicted model, not a curated record. The transcript is spliced from 2 exons.
GUGCGUUCAGCCUCACUUCCCCCUUAGGCGGAGAGAAGGAUACAGGGAAGCUUGGUAAAAAACAGAAUUAAAGGGAAUGGGUGUCGGAAGCCGAGGGUCUGAAGUUCACGACUCAUAGAAGGGGAGGGGAAUUGAAAGGCUCUCAGUGAAGAAGGUCCAGAAUCCUCCAGAUCACUUUACCAAUAAGUUCAAUAUGUAAAACAGACCAAUGUGGUUGAAAUGGGAACGAAUGAGAAUUAUUCCAACUUGCCAGCAGUACUUACCCCCUUUUCCACCCUCCCCAAAGGGUGUACUUUGAAAACCAUUGGAAAAACUCACCCCCUCAUGAAUGGCUUGAAAUACCCCAUCUGUAACAUGCUACAUUAAAACGUUUGCCUAUCUCAGUUAUUUUUCUGCCAGUCUCAUACUUUAAUUUAUGGAGCCUAGGACCUUUAUAAUUUAACAAAAGAAAUUGAAACAUCUAAUAAAUAACAACAUGAGAUUUGGGGAGACCCAUAAAA